RNAcentral lists this ribosomal RNA (253 nucleotides) under uncultured bacterium. Its description in RNAcentral is "partial 16S ribosomal RNA". It matches the Rfam family "Bacterial small subunit ribosomal RNA", at positions 524 to 776 of the family's 1533-position model. The record is from RNAcentral.
UAUGUAGGGUGCAAGCGUUAAUCGGAAUUACUGGGCGUAAAGCGUGCGCAGGCGGUUCUAUAAGACAGAUGUGAAAUCCCCGGGCUCAACCUGGGAACUGCAUUUGUGACUGUAGAGCUGGAGUACGGUAGAGGGGGAUGGAAUUCCGCGUGUAGCAGUGAAAUGCGUAGAUAUGCGGAGGAACACCGAUGGCGAAGGCAAUCCCCUGGACCUGUACUGACGCUCAUGCACGAAAGCGUGGGGAGCAAACAGG